AUGAACGCUGGCGGCGUGCCUAAUACAUGCAAGUCGAGCGAACGGACGAGAAGCUUGCUUCUCUGAUGUUAGCGGCGGACGGGUGAGUAACACGUGGAUAACCUACCUAUAAGACUGGGAUAACUUCGGGAAACCGGAGCUAAUACCGGAUAAUAUUUUGAACCGCAUGGUUCAAAAGUAAAAGACGGUCUUGCUGUCACUUAUAGAUGGAUCCGCGCUGCAUUAGCUAGUUGGUAAGGUAACGGCUUACCAAGGCAACGAUGCAUAGCCGACCUGAGAGGGUGAUCGGCCACACGGGAACUGAGACACGGUCCAGACUCCUACGGGAGGCAGCAGUAGGGAAUCUUCCGCAAUGGGCGAAAGCCUGACGGAGCAACGCCGCGUGAGUGAUGAAGGUCUUCGGAUCGUAAAACUCUGUUAUUAGGGAAGAACAUAUGUGUAAGUAACUGUGCACAUCUUGACGGUACCUAAUCAGAAAGCCACGGCUAACUACGUG
This 496-nucleotide ribosomal RNA is filed under the name uncultured bacterium. RNAcentral's name for it is "partial 16S ribosomal RNA". It matches the Rfam family "Bacterial small subunit ribosomal RNA", at positions 29 to 507 of the family's 1533-position model. The record is from RNAcentral.